Phthorimaea operculella (potato tuberworm) is the source of this 72-nucleotide non-coding RNA. The record is from the annotation of a GenBank genome assembly. Lineage: Eukaryota; Metazoa; Arthropoda; Insecta; Lepidoptera; Gelechiidae.
CUAGCUAUAGCUCAGUGACAGAGCGAUGGGGCGUUGACCCAUGCGGCCCGGGUUCGAGCCCCGGUCGCUGCA